CCUCACACAGAUGAAAGCAUCGAGUUUCAAAAGGCUAGAAAAGAUGGCUGCUCUCAGAACAACAACAAGGAACUUGACAUUCCAAUGCAGGCAGAUAGAACAGUACCUGUAGUCUCACCAUCGGUUUCAACUGAUAACAUCUCAAGGCCUGAGGAUGUCAAUCCCAUGAUAAAGCACCUGUCAAAGCUGUGUGAUGAAACAAAAACCGGUGUCAGUGAAAGUGAGCCAGUCUACAAGGCAGAUGAUAAAGGAUGCCCCUCAAACCCAGUCCAAAGUGACACAGACAGUUAUCUUGCUGAGCUAUCAGGGCCUGAAACCAGGUCUGUUUAUGGUGUAGACAGCGACCCUUUGGCUUUGAAACCAAAAGAUAGACUGCUGGAACAGAAUCUGUGUAUUUCUGAAGUGACUGAAUCCCAGACAUCAGAUAAACACAUGGACAGCCAGGGAUAUGCUACAUCUCAGUCCAAAGAAGUCAAAGACCACCAGAAUGCCGCACCUGAAUUUCUCCACAAAGUUUCACAAAAGGAAAGUCAAACAACUGCAGAGAGGCUUUCAGAAGACAAAACUGCAAACUCAAAUCCACAAGACACAGUUGUGUUUUACGACAAAACGACCAUUACAGAAGAAAUGAUUGAUUCCCAACUAAGCCCAUGCCACCAAACCGUUCAUGAGGAGCCUGAAACCAGCUUUGAUACUGCGAGUGCCACAAUAACUUCAGAUACACUCCUUCAUGAGUCCAAAGAUCAGUUCUCUCCACCUGAAUUGAUUUGUGAACAUUCACAAAGCCAGGUAUCCCAAGUGGGCGGCUCAACUGAAACAAGCCUCUACAAUGUGGUCAACAAGCUGGAAUCUAAAGAGUUGCCUCUUGUUGAUCAGACCACUUCAGUGACUGCAGUUGACACAGUGGAGGUCAUAUCAGAAAAUAACGAUCAAAACAAUGAUUCAGAACCACUGAAAUCUCAACAGAUUGAAAUGGGUGUUUCUACUGAAGAAGCCAAGAUCACAAACCCAGAACAAGAUCCUUCUUCUCCUGGGUCUACAACAGCAAAUUACCAAUCAGAUGUUGACCAGAAGAGCAUUCCAGUGGUAGAUGCUUCAAACGAUCCUGGAAAUAAAAGAUAUGAGUCGUCCUUUGCGUGGGACACAUUUAUGAAAGGGAAAAAGAUGCCACAUACAACACCGUUAAGAACUGAGCUGUGGUCCUCUGGAUUUCAUGAGCUUGUUUCUCCAUUUUGUGCUCCCAUAUUUAUGAAGAAUAAAUUGCCAAAAACAGCCAUAAUGAAGACUCCUGACAGACUGGAAACCCCAAGCAAGCGUCAAGGAGAGUGGAAUGCUAUCAAGCAGUCUUUUUCUGAAAUGUUAACAGAGAAAGAGAAUCAAGUUCUUAUCUCCUACAGCUCGACUCUGAGUGGCAGUCCAACCUCUUCUUCUGUGGGUAAUGGGCUGCGACAAAACUCCACUCCUACCGGUCCUCCUCCCAAACUCCAGAGCGUGGAGAAACCGACCCGGCCAAUGGCAUCUAGUUCUGAAAGAAAAGAAGAACGAAAACAAUCUGACAUAAUGGCCCAAAUUGCAAAAAUUGAGGAAUUUAUGUCAACUGAAGGUUUAAUACCUCAAAAAAGACUCAAAACUGAUUGAUACGUGCUAG
RNAcentral lists this long non-coding RNA (1648 nucleotides) under Sinocyclocheilus grahami. Its description in RNAcentral is "lncRNA (ENSSGRG00000033063.1)". Lineage: Eukaryota; Metazoa; Chordata; Actinopteri; Cypriniformes; Cyprinidae. The record is from RNAcentral.